GACGAACGCUGGCGGCGUGCCUAACACAUGCAAGUCGAGCGACGAACCGGGGCUUUUGCCGGGGCAGCGCCUGGAGCGGGUGAGUGACACAUGGGUGACCUCCCCCCAUGACUGGGACAACCCGUCUGGAGACUGGCGAAUACCUCAGGUGCCCCCUCGUGGAACGUAGGCUUCGGUCGCCACAUCGGGAUGUGCCCGCGGCGCUUGAGCUUGUUGGUCGGGUAAUGGCUUACCAAGGCGACGAUGCGUAGCCGGGCUGAGAGGACGAUCAGCCACACUGGAACUGAGACACGGCCCAGACUCCUACGGGAGGCAGCAGUGGGGAAUCUUGCACAAUGGGCGAAAGCGUGAUGCAGCAACGCCGCGUGAGGGAAGAAGGCCUUCGGGUUGUAAACCGCGCUUAGUUGGGAAGAGCCUUCGUUCGUGAAUAGAGGUUUGGAGUGACGGUACCUUCAGAAGAAGCACCGGCUAACUACGUG
RNAcentral lists this ribosomal RNA (479 nucleotides) under uncultured bacterium. RNAcentral's name for it is "partial 16S ribosomal RNA". It matches the Rfam family "Bacterial small subunit ribosomal RNA", at positions 28 to 507 of the family's 1533-position model. The record is from RNAcentral.